Molecule: transfer RNA, 74 nt
Filed under: Chloroflexi bacterium HGW-Chloroflexi-10
Lineage: Bacteria; Bacillati; Chloroflexota
Description: tRNA-Cys
Rfam family: tRNA
About the family: Transfer RNA (tRNA) molecules are approximately 80 nucleotides in length. Their secondary structure includes four short double-helical elements and three loops (D, anti-codon, and T loops).
Source: RNAcentral
GACGGCGUGGCCAAGCGGCAAGGCAAGGGUCUGCAAAAUCCUGAGCGUGGGUUCAAAUCCCACCGUCGUCUCCU